This is a long non-coding RNA of Gopherus evgoodei (Goodes thornscrub tortoise), 178 nucleotides long. RefSeq lists it as uncharacterized. The record is from RefSeq and is a predicted model, not a curated record. The transcript has 3 exons. Lineage: Eukaryota; Metazoa; Chordata; Testudines; Testudinidae.
CACUUAUAUUGUGAGUGCUGGAUCUGAGGCGUGCUAGGUCUCCCAGCACCGCUUUGAGAUCUCAAAUAAACUUUGCUUGCUUCUCCACCCUGGUGUGUUUACUGGCGCUAAGCACUCUGGGCACGAACCACCGUUGCUUGCCUUGGGCACCCUCUGUGCCUGCAACAAUUCUAGACAA